GAGGGUAUAGUUCAAAUGGUAGAGCACAUGCUUAGUAUGCACAAGGUCCUGGGGUCAAUCUCCAGUACCUCCA
This 73-nucleotide transfer RNA is filed under the name Camelus ferus (Wild Bactrian camel). It matches the Rfam family "tRNA". From Rfam's summary of the family: Transfer RNA (tRNA) molecules are approximately 80 nucleotides in length. Their secondary structure includes four short double-helical elements and three loops (D, anti-codon, and T loops). Further hydrogen bonds mediate the characteristic L-shaped molecular structure. tRNAs have two regions of fundamental functional importance: the anti-codon, which is responsible for specific mRNA codon recognition, and the 3' end, to which the tRNAs corresponding amino acid is attached (by aminoacyl-tRNA synthetases). tRNAs cope with the degeneracy of the genetic code in two manners: having more than one tRNA (with a specific anti-codon) for a particular amino acid; and 'wobble' base-pairing, i.e. permitting non-standard base-pairing at the 3rd anti-codon position. Lineage: Eukaryota; Metazoa; Chordata; Mammalia; Artiodactyla; Camelidae. The record is from Rfam by way of RNAcentral.